AGUCGAACGGUAACAGGUCUUCGGAUGCUGACGAGUGGCGAACGGGUGAGUAAUACAUCGGAACGUGCCUAGUAGUGGGGGAUAACUACUCGAAAGAGUAGCUAAUACCGCAUGAGAUCUACGGAUGAAAGCAGGGGACCUUCGGGCCUUGUGCUACUAGAGCGGCUGAUGGCAGAUUAGGUAGUUGGUGGGGUAAAGGCUUACCAAGCCUGCGAUCUGUAGCUGGUCUGAGAGGACGACCAGCCACACUGGGACUGAGACACGGCCCAGACUCCUACGGGAGGCAGCAGUGGGGAAUUUUGGACAAUGGGCGAAAGCCUGAUCCAGCAAUGCCGCGUGCAGGAUGAAGGCCCUCGGGUUGUAAACUGCUUUUGUACGGAACGAAAAGCCUGGGGCUAAUAUCCCCGGGUCAUGACGGUACCGUAAGAAUAAGCACCGGCUAACUACGUGCCAGCAGCCGCGGUAAUACGUAGGGUGCAA
This 480-nucleotide ribosomal RNA is filed under the name bacterium HWTE. Its description in RNAcentral is "bacterial SSU rRNA". It matches the Rfam family "Bacterial small subunit ribosomal RNA", at positions 60 to 537 of the family's 1533-position model. The record is from RNAcentral.